GUCUCAUGCCCACCCUAGACCAAGAAGAAACAGGAUUCCCUUAGAUCUAUCACAAUCAAUUCCCUGGGACAGGGAGACUCACCCCCUAAAUAAAAUCCAGACCAUUUGAGAGGAAAAGAAGGGAAUGGUUGCUAAAUAGCUGACCACCAGGGCCUGCCUGGCUCACAGAUUGUUGUUUAACGGAAUUGGUGGCUAUCUCAGUCCCCACACUCCACUGAGACAUCAGGUAUGGAGCUGGGGCCAGGGGCCACUCAAAUUGACCUUACCACUGGCCGCAGCCCAGGCAGCCACUUGAAGAUGAAGGGCGACUUAGAAACAAUGGAAUGAAGGCGGUCCCCUCCCAUCACCCCCCCUCAGCCGGGGAGGAGCGAUGCACAGUCUGUGAUCACCUUCCUUCGUUCAGCCCACCAUGUGCCUGAGCCUUCUCUGAGUUCCCAGAAGGUGGUCGGGAACAAGCUCCCUCCACUAGGCCUGGCAGCCUCCUGGGGAAGGACAGACAGUCAACAAGAAAGCUGCUCAGAGUUUGGCUUGUCUACCUGAAGGUCAGAGAAGGCUUCUCUGAGCAGCUGACCUUGAGCUGAAAACUGGACGAGAAGCCAGCUCUGCAAAGACGGCAGGGAAGUGCAUUCAGACGGAGGAACACCAAGCACAGAAACCUUGAAGUGGGAAGGAACCAGGUGGGCUCCAGGAACAGGAAGGGCUGAGUGGCCGGCGAGGCGCUGGGCACCU
RNAcentral lists this long non-coding RNA (729 nucleotides) under Homo sapiens (human). RNAcentral describes it as "non-protein coding lnc-BRI3BP-5:1". The record is from RNAcentral. Lineage: Eukaryota; Metazoa; Chordata; Mammalia; Primates; Hominidae.